Molecule: ribosomal RNA, 492 nt
Filed under: uncultured bacterium
Lineage: Bacteria
Description: partial 16S ribosomal RNA
Rfam family: Bacterial small subunit ribosomal RNA
Source: RNAcentral
GGUGAACGCUGGCGGUAGGCCUAACACAUGCAAGUCGAACGGCAGCACAGUAAGAGCUUGCUCUUACGGGUGGCGAGUGGCGGACGGGUGAGGAAUACAUCGGAAUCUACUUUUUCGUGGGGGAUAACGUAGGGAAACUUACGCUAAUACCGCAUACGACCUACGGGUGAAAGCAGGGGAUCUUCGGACCUUGCGCGAUUGAAUGAGCCGAUGUCGGAUUAGCUAGUUGGCGGGGUAAAGGCCCACCAAGGCGACGAUCCGUAGCUGGUCUGAGAGGAUGAUCAGCCACACUGGAACUGAGACACGGUCCAGACUCCUACGGGAGGCAGCAGUGGGGAAUAUUGGUCAAUGGGCGCAAGCCUGAUCCAGCCAUACCGCGUGGGUGAAGAAGGCCUUCGGGUUGUAAAGCCCUUUUGUUGGGAAAGAAAAGCAGCAGGUUAAUACCCCGCUGUUCUGACGGUACCCAAAGAAUAAGCACCGGCUAACUUCGUG